AUUGAACGCUGGCGGCAGGCUUAACACAUGCAAGUCGGACGGUAACAGGGAGGAAGCUUGCUUUCUUUGCUGACGAGUGGCGGACGGGUGAGUAAUGCUUGGGAAUCUGUUUUAUGGAGGGGGAUAACUACGGGAAACUGUAGCUAAUACCGCGUAAUAUCGAGAGAUUAAAGUGUGGGACCGUAAGGCCACAUGCCAUAGAGUGAGCCCAAGUGGGAUUAGGUAGUUGGUGGGGUAAAGGCCUACCAAGCCGUCGAUCUCUAGCUGGUCUGAGAGGAUGACCAGCCACACUGGGACUGAGACACGGCCCAGACUCCUACGGGAGGCAGCAGUGGGGAAUAUUGCACAAUGGGCGCAAGCCUGAUGCAGCCAUGCCGCGUGAAUGAAGAAGGCCUUCGGGUUGUAAAGUUCUUUCGGUGGUGAGGGAGGUUGUAAUGUUAAUAGCAUUAUAAUUUGACGUUAGCCACAGAAGAAGCACCGGCUAACUCCGUGCCAGCAGCCGCGGUAAUACGGAGGGUGCGAGCGUUAAUCGGAAUAACUGGGCGUAAAGGGCACGCAGGCGGAUACUUAAGUGAGGUGUGAAAGCCCUGGGCUUAACCUAGGAAUUGCAUUUCAUACUGGGUAUCUAGAGUAUUUUAGGGAGGGGUAGAAUUCCACGUGUAGUGGUGAAAUGCGUAGAGAUGUGGAGGAAUACCGAAGGCGAAGGCAGCCCCUUGGGGGAAUACUGACGCUCAUGUGCGAAAGCGUGGGGAGCAAACAGG
RNAcentral lists this ribosomal RNA (761 nucleotides) under uncultured bacterium. RNAcentral describes it as "bacterial SSU rRNA". It matches the Rfam family "Bacterial small subunit ribosomal RNA", at positions 28 to 776 of the family's 1533-position model. The record is from RNAcentral.